GACGAACGCUGGCGGCGUGCUUAACACAUGCAAGUCGAACGGAAAGGCCCUGCUUUUGGGGUGCUCUAGUGGCGAACGGGGGAGUGACACACGGGUGAUCUGCCCUCCUCUUCGGGAUAGACCUGGGAGACUGGGUGUAAUACCGGCUAGAUGCCAUUUUUAGUCUUAUGGUUGGAAAGUAUAUUCGGUUUAUGAUGAGCUCGCGGGCUAUCAGCUUGCUGGUGGGGUAAUGGCCUACCAAGGCGGCUGCGGGUGGCCGGCCUGGGAGGGUGGACGGCCAAAUUGGGACCGAGGUAAGGCCCAGACUCCUACGGGAGGGAGCAGGGGGGAAUCAUGCACAAUGGGCGCGAGGCGUGUGCAGAGACGCCGCGGGGGGGAUGACGGCCUUAGGGGUGGAAAACCCUUUCGCUAGGGACGGAGCCUUUUGUGACGGUACCUAGAUAAGAAGCACCGGCUAACUACGUG
RNAcentral lists this ribosomal RNA (465 nucleotides) under uncultured bacterium. RNAcentral's name for it is "partial 16S ribosomal RNA". It matches the Rfam family "Bacterial small subunit ribosomal RNA", at positions 28 to 507 of the family's 1533-position model. The record is from RNAcentral.